Molecule: ribosomal RNA, 497 nt
Filed under: uncultured bacterium
Lineage: Bacteria
Description: partial 16S ribosomal RNA
Rfam family: Bacterial small subunit ribosomal RNA
Source: RNAcentral
GAUGAACGCUGGCGGCGUGCCUAAUACAUGCAAGUCGAGCGAACAGACGAGGAGCUUGCUCCUUUGACGUUAGCGGCGGACGGGUGAGUAACACGUGGGUAACCUACCUAUAAGACUGGGAUAACUUCGGGAAACCGGAGCUAAUACCGGAUAAUAUUUCGAACCGCAUGGUUCGAUAGUGAAAGAUGGUUUUGCUAUCACUUAUAGAUGGACCUGCGCCGUAUUAGCUAGUUGGUAAGGUAACGGCUUACCAAGGCAACGAUACGUAGCCGACCUGAGAGGGUGAUCGGCCACACUGGAACUGAGACACGGUCCAGACUCCUACGGGAGGCAGCAGUAGGGAAUCUUCCGCAAUGGGCGAAAGCCUGACGGAGCAACGCCGCGUGAGUGAUGAAGGUCUUCGGAUCGUAAAACUCUGUUAUUAGGGAAGAAUAAACGUGUAAGUAACUGUGCACGUCUUGACGGUACCUAAUCAGAAAGCCACGGCUAACUACGUG